UACAGAGGGUGCAAACGUUGCUCGGAAUCAUUGGGCGUAAAGCGCACGUAGGCGGCCCAGCAAGCGGGGAGUGAAAGCCCUCGGCUUAACCGAGGAAGUGCUUUCCGAACUACUGGGCUUGAAUACUGGAGAGGGUCGCGGAAUUCCCGGUGUAGAGGUGAAAUUCAUAGAUAUCGGGAGGAACACCAGUGGCGAAGGCGGCGACCUGGACAGAUAUUGACGCUGAGGUGCGAAAGCGUGGGGAGCAAACAGG
RNAcentral lists this ribosomal RNA (253 nucleotides) under uncultured bacterium. RNAcentral's name for it is "partial 16S ribosomal RNA". It matches the Rfam family "Bacterial small subunit ribosomal RNA", at positions 524 to 776 of the family's 1533-position model. The record is from RNAcentral.